UCGGUAGACCUCCAUUGCUCUAUGAUGAUAGAGGAUUCGGCUUCAAACAUGGUCGGCAAUUCCAUCUUGUUCACGGUGCUUGCACAUCCUAUGGUCUUGCAAAAUCCUAGAGACAGGGCCCGAGCUGCUAUUGCUAGCACUGCUUCACAGGAGUUUACAUGUCCAGUACAGCAGCCUUCAGGAUGCUGGGGUCGUUGAAUUAAAAAACAAAAAAAAUAUCAAACAAUUAGUGCUAUCUCUACGCUCUGUCAGCCUUAGAGCAAUUGAGCUUCGCCAUUCAACAUUAAUAAACGGAAAAGAGAGACCGGCUUAUAUGCAGAAGAACCUCGAGAGCAUUGUGCUAAUAUGCUAUGGUAUAUACCACAGAUGACAGACCUACGCUAGUUGUGGACGUCUUCCACUGUCAUUCUUGCAAAUACUUUGACGUCGGCAUACACACGUGGUGUUAAGUCAACGGUGUUAUAACUUGGGGGGAAGUUCCAACUUGCCCGCCUUCGGGUUUGGCAGCCAUUUACGGGACGCAACUUGGAAAUUCCAAACCGGCUCCUUGGUAGCUAUUAGUUGGUCUUUAUUAAUAUACAUGGCGUACAUAAUGAGCCACUUACCUGAGAUGGCCUGGUACUUGCUCGGCCCAGCAACUCGCUUCCAGGAGGUUGAUGCCAAAGUUCAAUAUGAAAUUGCCCAGGAGCGUCUAUACGUUCAAAGGCAUUCUGGUACCUCUGCACUUCCAACUUCGCAAGAGCUGAGAGUCAUCCAUGAGAGCACUGGUGCGGAAUUACCUAGCCACCUUACACCGACUGGGCUUCUAUUCUCUGGGAUAUCGCAGGACGCACCAGAUUUCUAUGAAUUCUACCCCGAUCUAGAGCCCCUUCUAGCAAAAGUGGACUUUACUAGGCUCCCGUAUCGCCGCAGCAUCAAGUAUGAAGGGAGCUUCAACUGGAAAACUAUGGUGGAUGGUUAUCAAGAAUGUCUACAUUGUCAAUAUACUCACCCUUCAUUUUCUAUCUAUUACCCCCCGACAUUCUACACUGUCUAUAACCACUUGAACUUUUCCCAACAUAUCGCCGACCCAAAGAAGCCAGAUGACGGGUUAUUCCUCUACUUCUUUCCAAAUUGCACACUAAACGUGUACGGCGGAGGAAUGUCCUCGUUCCGAGUUUGUCCAACUGGUGAUCCUAACGUUACUAGGAUGGAAUUCGACUACUACCAUCUCGAAUCAGGCGAGAAGUUCGAAGAAUAUUUCAAAUUUGUUCGUCAGGUGGCUAUGGAAGACUAUGAGCUGUGUGAAAGGGCGCAGGGAAACUUGCAGAAUGGCGUGUAUAACGAGGGAAUUUUGAAUCCGGUCAAAGAGACUGGAGUGGCAUACUAUCAAAGUCGGGUCUUUGACCUAGUCACUGAGCAGCAUAGGCUCGAGAAAGCGAGCGAAGAUCCGGAAAAGGCGGUGGAGGGCGGGAAGAACCACUCUACACAAGUUGCUACAGUUCUCUGUAACUAGUCACCAGAUCAUCACCAUGUGUAUCCUUUGGAAUCACACCUACAGUUAAUAAAUGUCCGACA
Molecule: small RNA, 1557 nt
Filed under: Histoplasma capsulatum var. duboisii H88
Lineage: Eukaryota; Fungi; Ascomycota; Eurotiomycetes; Onygenales; Ajellomycetaceae
Description: Histoplasma capsulatum H88 hypothetical RNA
Source: RNAcentral